This 492-nucleotide long non-coding RNA is filed under the name Oreochromis niloticus (Nile tilapia). RNAcentral's name for it is "lncRNA (ENSONIG00000031211.1)". The record is from RNAcentral. Lineage: Eukaryota; Metazoa; Chordata; Actinopteri; Cichliformes; Cichlidae.
AUGGAGAAAGUAGGGCCGGGACUUCCUGUGUGGAGGUCAGUGCGUUUAUUUACAGUGAAUCAAAUAACAAAGGUCCAAAUAAUCCUCUCCACGGGGUUUCUUCCUGUGCUCGUUCCUCGCUCCCGUGCCGUGGCUUCUCCUGGUGUCUGUGGUGCUUUGAAAUUCAAGCUGUGGCCUGAGCACCUCGUGGGAUCAGCCAGCCAAAGCCUCAGAGAUAUCCAGACCCCCAUGCCCCAGGCUGCCUCUUCCACUCCAGGCGGUACACUGAGAAUCUCUCCAGCACGCCACCCUCAGAUCCUAGACACCCUAUGGUGUAUGAGCUCAUUUCCUCAGCUGGUAUCAGCACUUUACUUAUUUGGUAUGUUACCCCCCCCCCAUCAAUUUUCCUCAUUUAUUUAUUUAUUUUUUUUACCUGUUCUUUGCUUUAAUACCAAACUUUGGUUCAUCCUGUCUGAAGCAUGCUGUUUCAGCUCAUCGAUCUUUUGUUUCUGA